UUGGUGGUCUAAUAUUAUGCACAAUGUGGUUUGCCCAAUCUUCAAGUAGAGUUUGAAAUAAUUUUUCCAAGUUCCACAUACCAUUUUCAACCAUAUCAUUGAAAUUGUUAAUGUCUUCAUCAACAACAAACUGUGUAGCCAGUUGGAAAUAUAAGGCUCCCAUCUCGGUCCAAUUAUCGAACCUGAAUUGUGCUGAUCCCAUUCUCAAUUUUCAGUAUAUUUGAUGCUCAAUCAAGUCCCUGUAUUCAAGCAUUUUUUCCAAACGUAGGAUCCAGCAUUCCACGAUACAAUUACAGGAUUUAAUUUCUUGCAAUACUUUUGAAACAUAAAAUGCACUCCAUUAGCUGGGUUUUGUCCUAAUAUUCCACCACAAUUUGCAGAACAGUGCCUUGGAUACAUCAUGAAGGGAUCUAAAACCUAUACCCCCUCCUCAUAAGGUUACACAGGUUAGUCCAUGAUGACCAAUGUCUUGUGCUUCCUCCCACAUUGCUGUCCAGAAAAAUUUGGCAAAAAUGCUAUGUAAUUCCUCAUAUGGCAUACACAGUUUAGUCCAUGAUGACCAAUGUCUUGAGCUUCCUCCCACAUUGCUGCUCCAGAAAAAUUUUGAAAAAAUGCUAUGUAAGUUUUUGAUCACAUAGCUUGGUGGAUUUACUGCUGACAACAUACGAAUUGGGAUACUCUGCAGGAGAUUUGCGAUCAAUACAGCCCUUCCCUAUAGAUAGGAGUUUGCCUUUUCACGACUGCAGUUUGUCCAUAACCUUUGUAAUUAAUCCCUGGUAAUUAUCGCUUCUUCUUCUGGCAUAAAACAUAGGACAUCCAAGAUAUGUUAUAGGGAAACAUUGUUUUCCUAUACCAGUAUUCCUUUCCACCUUGUUAAUCACCUCAUUAUUCGUUAAAUGAUGCAAAUAUAUGGCAGAUUUGGCUUUGUUCACCAGUUGACCAGAUGUUGAUUCAUAAGCUUGGAGAACCUCCGUCACUAGUCGCAAUGAAAUUGCAUCAGAUGAGCAGAAAAUGAUUGUAUCAUCUGCAUAUGCAAGAUGGUUUAUUUUUCGGCUCCAUUUUGGUAGUCCAAAUCCACGAAAAUACAGGUUAGUAUGAUGUGAGUUCAAUCCUCGAGACAGUGCUUCUGCUGCUAGAAUGAAUAAGGUUGGUGACAGAGAAUCUCCCUGCUUAAUUCCCCUAGUUGAUCUGAAAAAACCAUUUGGCUGGCCAUUUAUAAGAAUAGAGUACCAAUUAUUCCCAAUCAAAUCAAAUAUCAAUCCAAUAAAAUCUUCAGAAAAUCCCAUCUUUCUUAGCAUUUUAGUCAGGAAUAACCAUGAUAAUCUAUCAUAAGCUUUUGUCAUGUCUAGCUUAAUCACAACGUUUGGACCUGCUUUUGUUCUUUACCCUAUAUCCUUAAUGAUUUUUUGAGUUAGCAGUACAUUCUAAAUGAUGCUUCUUCCAAAAUUUUGGGCCUGCUUUUGUUCUUAACUUGAUAUCCUUAAUGAUUUCUUGAGUUAGCAGAACAUUUUCAACGAUGUUUCUUCCCUUCACAAAACCUGCCUAUUCCUCUAAGAUUAUGCUUGGUAACAAUUCAACCAACCUUUCAUGAAUGACCCGCGAGAAAAUCUAUAAACAAAAUUGCUAAGACUGAUUGGUCUCAUGUCUGCAAAGGUAAUCACUUCUUUUUUUGGUAAUCAAACCAGGUUUGUGUGCGUCACACUCUUUGGCAGCUGGUGACCGCAGAUGAAAGACUUGACCAUGCCGACUACAUCUUCUUCAAUGAUUUUCCAGCAUGAUUGGUAAAAGGCUCCAGUGAAACCAUCCAGUCCGCCUGCUGAGUCCCCAUUCAGCCCCAUGACUACUCUCUUCACUUCCUCAUUAGAAGGCAAAGUCAUUAAUCUCUCAUGUUGAU
This 1894-nucleotide long non-coding RNA is filed under the name Nicotiana benthamiana. RNAcentral's name for it is "long non-coding RNA (NBEN_LNC041052)". Lineage: Eukaryota; Viridiplantae; Streptophyta; Magnoliopsida; Solanales; Solanaceae. The record is from RNAcentral.